Molecule: ribosomal RNA, 264 nt
Filed under: uncultured bacterium
Lineage: Bacteria
Description: partial 16S ribosomal RNA
Rfam family: Bacterial small subunit ribosomal RNA
Source: RNAcentral
GUCCACGCCGUAAACUAUGGAUACUAGCUGUUGGAGGUAUCGACCCCUUCAGUAGCGAAGCUAACGCGUUAAGUAUCCCGCCUGUGGAGUACGGUCGCAAGACUAAAACAUAAAGGAAUUGACGGGGACCCGCACAAGCGGUGGAGCGUGUUCUUUAAUUCGAUGAUAAACGAAGAACCUUACCAGGGUUUGACAUCCUUGGAAUUUCUGUGAAAGCAGAAAGUGCUUUAUUGAGCCAAGUGACAGGUGAUGCAUGGCCGUCGU